Drosophila santomea is the source of this 1356-nucleotide long non-coding RNA. RefSeq lists it as uncharacterized. The transcript is spliced from 2 exons. The record is from RefSeq and is a predicted model, not a curated record. Lineage: Eukaryota; Metazoa; Arthropoda; Insecta; Diptera; Drosophilidae.
ACAACAUGUGAUUUUGUUCCUAACAGCACAUUUAACGGAGUGUUAACGCCGAUAAAGUAAACAAACAAUCUAUCUGCAACAUAGAAAUCACCAAACAAAAUCGAAUAUGAAGGAAAAAUGCAGAGUUUGCUGGCUGAAAUACCAGAACAUGGUCAACAUUUUUAAGCAAACUGUGGAGUUUGAGAUUACCCUGGCCGAAAUGAUUUCGCAGUUCACAGGCUAUCCAGUCCAAAAGGGAGACCCCUUUUCCGAGUUUAUUUGCCAACUUUGCCUUAAGGAUACGCAAAAUGCGUACAGAUCUCGACCAACUUACGAGCCGGACCAUGAGUUCACCUGCCAAGUAAAGGAGGAAAUGAUAGAUGAUUCACUACAGGAAGCUGAUUAUAAUGACUCUCAAGGAUCACAAUAUGGAGAGGAAACGCAGCAAUUCGCUUGCCUAGUGAAGAACGAGUCCUUAGAAAAAGACUUUCUAGAUAAUGACAUCUCUUUAACAGCACCUUACCAAAUAGGGGAACAAAAUGAAGAUUUAAGUUACGAAAAAAUCAAAAAGGUUAAAAAAAAGGUAAAAGGUUCAGCGAAAAAGGCACUACCUCUCAGUUGUCUUCAUUGUUCUGAGACCUUUCGAAGCAAAUAUUUUCUAGAUCUGCACAAACAAGUUUACAUGAAGGAACCGAAAUACUCAUGUAUUCACUGUCCCAAGACUUUUGCAACUUUAUACCAACAUAACAGUCACAUGGUGACCCACACUGGAGAACGAACACACAAAUGUCCGCAAUGUCUUAAAUCAUUUAUCGGUAGUUCAAAUCUGCAAACACACGUCCGCAUUCACACUGGCGAGCGACCAUUUAAAUGCCUCAAAUGCCCAAAGACUUUCAUACAGAAAACGCAUCUUGUCAACCACAAUCGCACGCACACUGGCGAAAGUCCCUUUAGUUGCCCAAAGUGUCUUAAGACCUUUAGACAACCAGCUAAUCUCCAAGCGCACCUGAAGGGUUCACAUUGACCCGGGUCAAGUCCCGAACAGAGAAACCACUUUUUAAGUGCACCCACUGCUCCUCGUCGUUCAAAGACCAAGAUGCUCUGCUAGAUCACAUUCACAUCCACAACGCUUUAUUUGAGGAAGAAGUCUGUAAGAUGUCUAACAAUGAAAAUGAUCAGCUUAAUGAUAUCAAAGUGGAUAUUUUUAAAGAUGAUGAGCAAAACAAUUCGAUUUUAGAGGCAAAUAUGCAGGUCUGUCCGGAUGAACACCUUGGAAAUAGCUGAGAACAUCUUUUAUUUUCAAGGGCAGACUACCUCGUGAAGCAUGGCUUCUAGGAUUACAAUAAAGAAGGAGAUUCUUAAGACUUUUGAAUAUUA